GAGACCUUUUCCUUGUUCUUGCCCCGUACAAUAUUGAGGUUGGAACAGAUUCAAGAAAAAUUGAUUGGGUUCGGCAGAUCAGGUCGAGUUUGAAAAUAAUUGCCAUCUCUAUCUUCAAACUUUUUAAGUAGCAAACCUCAAAGUUAAAUAACAUUAAAAGACAAGUAAGAAAUAACUAAGGUUCUGUUCGGUUCAUGUAAAUGAAUUUUAUGAGAGAAUUCAUUUACAAAUGAAUUCCUUUAUUUAGUAUAUUAUAUAUUAAAUAUAAAAUUCAAUUCAAAUAAAAUAAAUUUUGUAUU
This 299-nucleotide unclassified non-coding RNA is filed under the name Hevea brasiliensis (rubber tree). The record is from RNAcentral. Lineage: Eukaryota; Viridiplantae; Streptophyta; Magnoliopsida; Malpighiales; Euphorbiaceae.